This 504-nucleotide long non-coding RNA is filed under the name Rattus norvegicus (Norway rat). RNAcentral describes it as "long non-coding RNA NONRATT009399". Lineage: Eukaryota; Metazoa; Chordata; Mammalia; Rodentia; Muridae. The record is from RNAcentral.
CCUGCAUGAGUGUGUGCUGUGUGUCAGAGUGGAUUGGAGUUGAAAAAGCUUGACUGGCGUCAUUCAGGAGCUGGAUGGCUUGGGACAUGUGCAGCCAAGACUCUGUAUGGAGUGACAUAGAGUGUGCUGCCCUGGUUGGUGAGGACCAGCCUCUUUGCCCAGAUCUUCCUGAACUUGACCUUUCUGAACUUGAUGUGAAUGACCUGGACACAGACAGCUUUCUGGGUGGAUUGAAGUGGUGUAGUGACCAAUCAGAAAUCAUAUCCAACCAGUACAACAAUGAGCCCGCGAACAUAUUCGAGGCAAAGGAAGACCAGCUUGCUGUACCAUAGCAAAUGAAAGUUUUCUUAAAGCUUUCUCCUUGGUGACUUUGCAAUGUGUAAUUUAAAAGCAGAAAGCAAAGAAGAAGCAGUUUAAAACAGUAGGCUGUGCUUCUCGGCCCCAACCAGUCCUGGGGCGUAUGCUCAAUAAACUAUCCCUAUCUGACUCAGAGGGAAAAAAGUA